Molecule: small RNA, 26 nt
Filed under: Bombyx mori (domestic silkworm)
Lineage: Eukaryota; Metazoa; Arthropoda; Insecta; Lepidoptera; Bombycidae
Description: ovarian small RNA-25229
Source: RNAcentral
UCACGAAUAGUUUGCUCUGGUGAUGU